GAUGAACGCUGGCGGCGUGCUUAACACAUGCAAGUCGAACGAUGAAGCCCAGCUUGCUGGGUGGAUUAGUGGCGAACGGGUGAGUAACACGUGAGUAACCUGCCCUUAACUCUGGGAUAAGCCUGGGAAACUGGGUCUACUACCGGAUAGGAGCGUCCACCGCAUGGUGGGUGUUGGAAAGAUUUAUCGGUUUUGGAUGGACUCGCGGCCUAUCAGCUUGUUGGUGAGGUAAUGGCUCACCAAGGCGACGACGGGUAGCCGGCCUGAGAGGGUGACCGGCCACACUGGGACUGAGACACGGCCCAGACUCCUACGGGAGGCAGCAGUGGGGAAUAUUGCACAAUGGGCGAAAGCCUGAUGCAGCGACGCCGCGUGAGGGAUGACGGCCUUCGGGUUGUAAACCUCUUUCAGUAGGGAAGAAGCGAAAGUGACGGUACCUGCAGAAGAAGCACCGGCUAACUACGUG
Molecule: ribosomal RNA, 466 nt
Filed under: uncultured bacterium
Lineage: Bacteria
Description: partial 16S ribosomal RNA
Rfam family: Bacterial small subunit ribosomal RNA
Source: RNAcentral